Molecule: non-coding RNA, 90 nt
Organism: Ciona intestinalis (vase tunicate)
Lineage: Eukaryota; Metazoa; Chordata; Ascidiacea; Phlebobranchia; Cionidae
Source: RefSeq, a predicted model, not a curated record
AAAAAGUCAGCGAAUAAAGCUGCCGAAGAAAAGCGCAAGGAGAAAACGAAGACGCCAAUAAAGGGUACACGGUUUGAGGUUUGAGUAUUA